GACGAACGCUGGCGGCGUGCUAACCCAUGCAAGUCGAACGGAAAGGCCCUGCUUUUGUGGGGUGCUCGAGUGGCGAACGGGUGAGUAACACGUGAGUAGCCUGCCCUUGACUUUUGGAUAACUUCAGGAAACUGGGGCUAAUACCGGAUAGGAGCUCCUGCUGCAUGGUGGGGGUUGGAAAGUUUCGGCGGUUGGGGAUGGACUCGCGGCUUAUCAGCUUGUUGGUGGGGUAGUGGCUUACCAAGGCUUUGACGGGUAGCCGGCCUGAGAGGGUGACCGGACACAUUGGGACUGAGAUACGGCCCAGACUGCAACGGGAGGCAGCAGUGGGGAAUAUUGCACAAUGGGCGGAAGCCUGAUGCAGCAACGCCGCGUGCGGGAUGACGGCCUUCGGGUUGUAAACCGCUUUCGCCUGUGACGAAGCGUGAGUGACGGUAAUGGGUAAAGAAGCACCGGCUAACUACGUG
Molecule: ribosomal RNA, 467 nt
Filed under: uncultured bacterium
Lineage: Bacteria
Description: partial 16S ribosomal RNA
Rfam family: Bacterial small subunit ribosomal RNA
Source: RNAcentral